GUACACUCCUGCGGGAGGCAGCAGUGGGGAAUAUUGCACAAUGGGCGCAAGCCUGAUGCAGCCAUGCCGCGUGUAUGAAGAAGGCCUUCGGGUUGUAAAGUACUUUCAGCGGGGAGGAAGGCAAUACGGUUAAUAACCGUGUUGAUUGACGUUACCCGCAGAAGAAGCACCGGCUAACUCCGUGCCAGCAGCCGCGGUAAUACGGAGGGUGCAAGCGUUAAUCGGAAUUACUGGGCGUAAAGCGCACGCAGGCGGUCUGUCAAGUCGGAUGUGAAAUCCCCGGGCUCAACCUGGGAACUGCAUUCGAAACUGGCAGGCUUGAGUCUUGUAGAGGGGGGUAGAAUUCCAGGUGUAGCGGUGAAAUGCGUAGAGAUCUGGAGGAAUACCGGUGGCGAAGGCGGCCCCCUGGACAAAGACUGACGCUCAGGUGCGAAAGCGUGGGGAGCAAACAGGAUUAGAAACCCCAGUAGUCCCAUGA
RNAcentral lists this ribosomal RNA (478 nucleotides) under uncultured organism. RNAcentral's name for it is "partial 16S ribosomal RNA". It matches the Rfam family "Bacterial small subunit ribosomal RNA", at positions 331 to 800 of the family's 1533-position model. The record is from RNAcentral.